Molecule: long non-coding RNA, 120 nt
Organism: Mustela erminea (ermine)
Lineage: Eukaryota; Metazoa; Chordata; Mammalia; Carnivora; Mustelidae
Exons: 3
Source: RefSeq, a predicted model, not a curated record
UUUAUCCAUACAUCCAUCAAUGGACAUUUGGGCUGCUUCCAUAAUUUGGUUAUUGUAAAUACCACUGCAAUAAACAGAGGGGUACAUAUAUCCUCCCAGAUUAAUGUUUUCAUUUUGUUU